UCCAUUCCGCCAAUGCUUCACUGCAUUGCUGCUGCCCGCUCGACAAUCCCUCAUAAGACCUUCCUGUCCCUGCCUCCUCAUGUGCACUUGAAGCCGCCAUUUCUCACUCCACAACUCCCACCAAGCUCCUGCAACUUCACAUGUCCCAGUACAAGCAGAUUACACUUCUUUACAGACUUAAUUCAAAAAGUUAAAAGCUAUGCAACACAGCCAACUCUCAGUUUAACGUAUCUUAAAAAUCCUCAGACCCAGUGGCAAAGCCAGAAAUUUCGAUAAGAGUGCUCACGAUUUAAAUAUAUAUGUGUAAAAAAGUAAUAUUUUACCAAUAUAUUCAGUAUAAUUAUCCGACAAGGGGUGUCUAAGUGACCACACUUCAGACCGAUGCAUAGUACAUUGGCAAAAUUUUAAACAUUCCCAACUGUGGGAGAUUCCAAUAGAAAUUGAGAAUCAAUAACCAGCAAAAUGGAGCGAAUCAGAUAGAGACUAUCAUAGAACCAACUCAACUAAAUUCCUAUUAGGCAUAAUCUUUAUUUUUUCUAGAAAUGAAAUCUCAUUAGUAAACUUCUUCUAUUAAUGACUGGCGUGUCUCGGUCAGCUUGCACGCACCUUGACUAAUUAUCAAUAUACCAGUAAAGAAAUAAUUCAUUAAAAUCCACAAUAAGAUAACUCCCAAUAAACCCUAAUUCCACCAGACUUCCAAUAACAGUCAAGCAAAAUUGAAUUGAAAUCUAAAGCCCAUCAAAAAAAUAAAACAGAAACAUAUCAACUAAUUAUCAAAAACCCAGUAAAGAAUUAAUUAAUUAAAACCAAUCGAAAUAAGAUCGAGAAAGUAAGUUUAAAAAAAUCAAAACAAACAAUUUCAGAAAAGGAUCGAAAAAACGAAAUUCCCGAAAUACCCAUGAGAAACCCUAAAAAAGCAAAUUAAAACACAAAGCAAGGAAUUAAGAACAGAAGCGAAUAUCGGAAAACACUGACAAUUUUAAUUAAAAAGAAGAUCGAUGUAAAAGGAAGCAGUACCUGAAGCAGAGAAUUAGAGUUUUUUUUUUGUCAAUAGCGAAUGGAAGCUGUAGAGAAAAAAAAGAUUUUAGAGGUCGAAGAAGAAAGCCGAAAGGAGGAAAUUAUUAUGACUAUAUAUAGUAUGCUACGAAAUUUUUGCUUUAUU
This 1162-nucleotide long non-coding RNA is filed under the name Nicotiana benthamiana. RNAcentral's name for it is "long non-coding RNA (NBEN_LNC006135)". Lineage: Eukaryota; Viridiplantae; Streptophyta; Magnoliopsida; Solanales; Solanaceae. The record is from RNAcentral.